Molecule: ribosomal RNA, 508 nt
Filed under: uncultured bacterium
Lineage: Bacteria
Description: partial 16S ribosomal RNA
Rfam family: Bacterial small subunit ribosomal RNA
Source: RNAcentral
GAUGAACGCUAGCUACAGGCUUAACACAUGCAAGUCGAGGGGAAACGACAUCGAAAGCUUGCUUUUGAUGGGCGUCGACCGGCGCACGGGUGAGUAACGCGUAUCCAACCUGCCCACCACUUGGGGAUAACCUUGCGAAAGUAAGACUAAUACCCAAUGACGUCUCUAGAAGACAUCUGAAAGAGAUUAAAGAUUUAUCGGUGAUGGAUGGGGAUGCGUCUGAUUAGCUUGUUGGCGGGGUAACGGCCCACUAAGGCGACGAUCAGUAGGGGUUCUGAGAGGAAGGUCCCCCACAUUGGAACUGAGACACGGUCCAAACUCCUACGGGAGGCAGCAGUGAGGAAUAUUGGUCAAUGGGCGAGAGCCUGAACCGGCCAAGUAGCGUGCAGGAUGACGGCCCUAUGGGUUGUAAACUGCUUUUAUAAGGGAAUAAAGUGAGUCUCGUGAGACUUUUUGCAUGUACCUUAUGAAUAAGGACCGGCUAAUUCCGUGCCAGCCGCCGCGGUAA